This 468-nucleotide ribosomal RNA is filed under the name uncultured bacterium. RNAcentral describes it as "partial 16S ribosomal RNA". It matches the Rfam family "Bacterial small subunit ribosomal RNA", at positions 28 to 507 of the family's 1533-position model. The record is from RNAcentral.
GACGAACGCUGGCGGCGUGCUUAACACAUGCAAGUCGAACGGAAAGGCCCUGCUUUUGUGGGGUGCUCGAGUGGCGAACGGGUGAGUAACACGUGAGUAACCUGCCCUUGACUUUGGGAUAACUUCAGGAAACUGGGGCUAAUACCGGAUAGGAGCUCCUGCUGCAUGGUGGGGGUUGGAAAGUUUCGGCGGUUGGGGAUGGACUCGCGGCUUAUCAGCUUGUUGGUGGGGUAGUGGCUUACCAAGGCUUUGACGGGUAGCCGGCCUGAGAGGGUGACCGGCCACAUUGGGACUGAGAUACGGCCCAGACUCCUACGGGAGGCAGCAGUGGGGAAUAUUGCACAAUGGGCGGAAGCCUGAUGCAGCAACGCCGCGUGCGGGAUGAAGGCCUUCGGGUUGUAAACCGCUUUCGCCUGUGACGAAGCGUGAGUGACGGUAAUUGGUAAAGAAGCACCGGCUAACUACGUG